RNAcentral lists this ribosomal RNA (141 nucleotides) under uncultured eukaryote. RNAcentral's name for it is "partial 18S ribosomal RNA". It matches the Rfam family "Eukaryotic small subunit ribosomal RNA", at positions 1299 to 1458 of the family's 1831-position model. The record is from RNAcentral.
UGGUGGAGUGAUUCGUCUGCUUAAUUGCGUUAACGAACGAGACCUUAACCUGCUAAAUAGUACUACCUUACUUCGGUAAAGUAGCUUACUUCUUAGAGGGACUUUGUGUGUUUCAGCACAAGGAAGUUUGAGGCAAUAACA